UACGUAGGGGGCAAGCGUUGUCCGGAAUCAUUGGGCGUAAAGAGCGUGUAGGCGGCCCGGUAAGUCCGCUGUGAAAGUCGAGGGCUCAACCCUCGAAUGCCGGCGGAUACUGUCGGGCUAGAGUCCGGAAGAGGCGAGUGGAAUUCCUGGUGUAGCGGUGAAAUGCGCAGAUAUCAGGAGGAACACCUACGGCGAAGGCAGCUCGCUGGGACGGUACUGACGCUGAGAAGCGAAAGCGUGGGGAGCGAACAGG
This 253-nucleotide ribosomal RNA is filed under the name uncultured bacterium. RNAcentral describes it as "partial 16S ribosomal RNA". It matches the Rfam family "Bacterial small subunit ribosomal RNA", at positions 524 to 776 of the family's 1533-position model. The record is from RNAcentral.